GAUGAACGCUGGCGGCGUGCCUAAUACAUGCAAGUCGAGCGAACAGACGAGGAGCUUGCUCCUCUGACGUUAGCGGCGGACGGGUGAGUAACACGUGGAUAACCUACCUAUAAGACUGGGAUAACUUCGGGAAACCGGAGCUAAUACCGGAUAAUAUAUUGAACCGCAUGGUUCAAUAGUGAAAGACGGUUUUGCUGUCACUUAUAGAUGGAUCCGCGCCGCAUUAGCUAGUUGGUAAGGUAACGGCUUACCAAGGCAACGAUGCGUAGCCGACCUGAGAGGGUGAUAGGCCACACUGGAACUGAGACACGGUCCAGACUCCUACGGGAGGCAGCAGUAGGGAAUCUUCCGCAAAGGGCGAAAGCUUGACGGAGCAACGCCGCGUGAGUGAUGAAGGUCUUCGGAUCGUAAAACUCUGUUAUUAGGGAAGAACAAAUGUGUAAGUAACUAUGCACGUCUUGACGGUACCUAAUCAGAAAGCCACGGCUAACUACGUG
Molecule: ribosomal RNA, 497 nt
Filed under: uncultured bacterium
Lineage: Bacteria
Description: partial 16S ribosomal RNA
Rfam family: Bacterial small subunit ribosomal RNA
Source: RNAcentral